RNAcentral lists this ribosomal RNA (21 nucleotides) under Fagus grandifolia (American beech). RNAcentral describes it as "partial 18S ribosomal RNA". Lineage: Eukaryota; Viridiplantae; Streptophyta; Magnoliopsida; Fagales; Fagaceae. The record is from RNAcentral.
UCGAUCUGCGGAAGGUCAUUG